This 4940-nucleotide long non-coding RNA is filed under the name Gossypium barbadense (sea-island cotton). RNAcentral describes it as "long non-coding RNA (GBAR_LNC017358)". Lineage: Eukaryota; Viridiplantae; Streptophyta; Magnoliopsida; Malvales; Malvaceae. The record is from RNAcentral.
UGCAGCGGAAUUAAAACGUAAGUCUGAUUAAUAAAACAAUUCAGUUUAAUCACAUAUUAACAAAUAAUAACCUAAAUUUUGUAACCUAUACUGAAUGACAUGCAUCUAACAAUUAAAUUAAAAUUAAAUUUCCAAACCACGAUUCAUAAUAAAAGAAAACGGAAAAUAACUCUACCUCUUAAUAAAUUAAAAAUAAUAACAUUAAUGAAAAUAAAUAUGAAACAAAAGCUGAGACCCUUCAAGUUUCAUGUCUAUAUCCUAGCCUGAAAGAUUAUGUGUAAAGAUGGAAAUUAGGGGGAAUGAGCUAUGGAAGCUCAAUGUGAGUCCCUUUAGAAUAAACUAAAUCAUACAAUUAUAUUUUUAAACUUUAAAUAACAUAGUACAUCGUUACCAAGAAUAACAAUCGGUUAUAAAUAUCUAUCAAUUUCAAAUAUGGUAAUUCAGUGUUGCUACUUUAGUCAAACAAUAAUAAUACUCUCAAACAUAGACAAUCAAUUGAAUCAAUUUCAGAGUUAUUUAUAUUGUUCACAAAAGAUAUAUGCACAUAAAUCAGAUCAAUCAUUUCAUCAAGUAAAUUCAAUCAUGUAUGCAUAAAUAGUCAAAUAUGCCAUACAAAAAAUCGGUUGUCCUACCCCCAACCACUAGUGCUCUAAAAUUGGGAGUUCCCCCUAACUCCCUCCACCAUCACUCCAAUUUGUGGACUUAAUACUACAUUCGAAUUCGGGUAAUUGCAAAUAAAAGUUACUGUUACUGCGAAAACAUGACCAUCUCAUAGAUAAGAGCUGUUAGAGGGACCGUGAGAGCAUAGUAAAAACGUCGCAGUUAGUAUAUGCUAUAAUUGUGAGUACACAGUGAACGAUUAAAUAAAGAUAUAUUGUCAGUUCUUCCUCCAAUCAUAUCAACCCAACCCAUGCAAAUGAAAUAUAAAUACAUUCCAAGACAUUCAAUCAAUAUAUCAUUUACUUUUUAUCUCAUAACCAAUCAAUGACAAUCAUGAAUAAAUUAGGCAUCCAAAUUUUCCAACAAUUUAGGCAUUCGGAUCAUUCAAUCAGGUUUUCAUAAAAAUACAUGUACAUUAUUCACUAUUUAGGCAAUCAAUCAAGAGUAAUUCAAUUAAUAAAUUCAAUCAUCCAUAUAUUUCACUGUUCUAUUCUUAAUCCAGGAUCUAAUUGCAUAAUCUAGUUCUCUAAAUGCCAUUAAAAACCUAAUCAUGGACUGAUUUGAACAAAAUAAUAAAGAAUAUGUAAAAACUGUAAUUUUGAGUUUCAGGUGCCACACUUCUGAUGUCCCAUACGAUGGUCCUCACAUCCAAGUAUGAUCCGAAUUACCUACAGGGGUCUUUCUUUUGACAAAAUGCAAGAAUUAAUGAUUGAUUUCAAGAUUUAGGGGGUUUUUCAAUAAGAUCGUAAAAGAUCUGUAACAUAUGAAAGAUCUAACGAAAAUAAUGAUUUUCCAGAAUUGAUGAGAUCUAGCUAUUGAGAAAUGAGAAAAAAUUACCGAUCUUGUAGAAAUUUAAAAAUUGAUGGCGUGAAAUUCAACGAUUGAUGAUAAAUGAUUCGAUUUGGACUUGAUUGCUAAGUUAAGAUUCAAGAACUAAAUUUCUAGCAAAAACUUUGAGAGAAUUUUGCAAAACAGGGUUUGUAGAGAAAAUUGAGAAGAAAUACGGAGAAUGGGGGUUUCAAUUUGGGUUAGAAUCAAAUAGGAAAUCCUAAUUGUGCUAGGAAAUGGUUUAUUAGUUGGACUUUGGGAAAAAAAAUAAGGGUUGUUUGAAAACCAACCUUUUUUGGCCGAAAUUAAGGAAAAAUUAAAGGAAAAUUGAUAAGAAAUAGGGAGAAUGGGGGUUUCAAUUUGGGUUAGAAUCAAAUAGGAAAUCCUAUUUGUGCUAGGGAGCGGUUUAUUAGUUGCACUUUGGAAAAAAAUAAGGGUUGUUUGACAAUUAACCCUUUUGGCCGGAAUCAAUGAAAAAUUAAGGGAAAAUUGAGAAGAAAUAGGGAGAAUGGGGGUUUCAGUUUGGGUUAGAAUCAAAUAGGAAACUUUAAGAGAAUUUUGCAAAAGAGGGUUUGUAAAGAAAAUUGAGAAGAAAUAGGGAGAAUAGGGGUUUCAAUUUGGGUUAGAAUCAAAUAGGAAAUCCCAAUUGUACUAGGGAGUGGUUUAUUAGUUGGACUUUGGAAAAACAAUAAGGGUUGUUGGAAAUGAAACCAAUGUGAAUUAAACCUCUAAUCUACUCAAGGGGAUGAAAUAAAUGAAACUUAACUAUUGGACUAAUAUCCAUUCUAUAGUCAUAUUUUACCACAAAUAACACAUAAGCUACUUUAACCUUAGUUCCUUAAUUGCAGAAAAAUAAAAGAAAAAAUUGAAAAAAAGUGGGAUUUGAACAUUGAUUCUCAUAGCUUACUUCUAAGCUCUUAAUCACUAAGACUAAGACUAAAUUCAUGAUAAUUCCUAAAAGAAUUUGCCCUUAUAAUUUUGGAGUGUUACAUUACUUGUCACUUUUAAUAAUUUAUAAUAAGAUUUAAAAAUAAUAUCAAUCCAAUAAACUAAUUUCCAUCAACUAAUUAUUUGUACUAUAAAAUGGCAAUAACAUUGUACCUCUUUAUUAAUUCAAUUAUUUAAAUCUAUAUAUAUUUUAAAAAAUAUAAGAUAUUCAAUUAAAAGUAAAAAAAAAAUUGAUCAAUAAUAAUUAGAGUACGUAAGAGUUUUAAAUAUAAUUUUACAUUUCGAAAUAAAUAUAAAAUUAUUUCAAUAGGGGAAUAUUUAUAUUAUUAUAACUUAAAUAAAAUAAUUUAUUUUGUGACUAUUAAAGUAUUGUUUUAAUAAAAAUAUUAAAUCGAUUAUUAUUAAUUAUGUAUAGAAUACUUCCAGUGCAAACACGUGUAAGUUAAAGACAAAUAUGUAUAAGAGUAUGAACAUAACAGAACUAACAAAAACAUCUUUUAUUAUUAAUUAAUAUUAGAAUUUUUUUUAACAUUACUCUUCUUAUCAUAUUUACUUUUCUUGAUACAUUGCUUAAAAUUACUCAUAGCCUCUCCCGAACCUAUAUCCUCAUGUACUAGCAACAAUACUGAUACCAAUCGAAUUAAGAUUCAAUCUGUAUAAUUAUUAUUAUUGAACUUUACAUACGAGAAAAAUACUUUAUUGGUAUUUCAAUUAAAUACCAAUAAAAUUAAGACAACUAGUAUCCAACAUGUAAGCAUUUUCUUUUAAGUAAUAUCUAAUUUAAAAGAAAUCAAUUUUCUUUAUUUUUUUUAAAGAAUAAAAAAAUUCAAAUUUCAGUGUUCUUUUAUUGAGAUUUUUACGGGUUAAAAUUUAUUAAUAUAACAUUUUAAUUAUAAAAAUAAUUAAUAUAUUAUAAAUAUAUCCAACCAUUUGAAUUGUUUAUUAAAUUAAUUACAUGAAAUUAAAAAAUAAGCGCAUAAAAUCGCAUUCGAGGCUCGUGACUAGAUCUAUUCAUGGGUCGCGUUACUUGUUUAGGCCCGAAGGCUUGCUUAAAAUUUGAGAGGGUUUUGGAAAAAAUAUUAAGCCCAAAAAAUAAAUUUGGUAAAAAAUUAUGCACGUUUAAAUAUAAAUCGAGCUCGGGUUUAAACAUUAAAAGCCUAACUUUGACCUGAUCUAAUUUUAAGUUCAUAAUACUUUAUAUUAUGUUAUUUUUUAUAUAUUAUAUAAUUUAUAACAAAUAAAAAAUAAAUCUAUACUAAAUAUAUAAUACUACUCUAAUGUAAACAGUAAAAUCACUAUAUAAAAAAUUCAAUAAAUUCAAUAUUAUAAAUAUUUUUAAAAAAUUUUAAAAAUUAAUAUGGGCGGACCUAAAAUUGGCUUGAGUUAAUCUUUUGUAAAUAUAGGUGAGUUUGAGCAAACAAAAAUUCAUAUUUCGGAUCGGGUCGGACUUAUACAAACAUAAAAUAUGUUAACAUAAUGUUUAAACCCGGUUCAAAGUCGAUCCAACUCAAUCCAUGAAUACUUCUAUUCGUGAAGAAUACUUAUCGCAAGAGGGACAGAAGCUUUAUCCCCUUAACUCAUAUCAUUUUACCCUUCCAAAAAAUAUUAACUCCUAACAGAAAAAUUAUAUACACAUAUAUAUUAUAUAUGGAUUGUGGAAGCAAUAGCAUUGGUGUUGGUCUGCGGCUGGGCUUCCAUUCUCAUAUUAGAAUUUAGAAUGAAAACCCAACAACUUUUAAACGACAAAAUGAAACUCCCUGCCUAAUUGUUUUGUUUUCUUCUAAUACGAUGCGGCAAAUCCCCUUGUAUAUUUGUCUUCUUCUUUGCAUGUUCCAUAAAUUUGUGCAUUAUUUUGCAUUUGCCUCACAUUAGUUAAGACUUUUCUGAUCAUUUCAAGCAUCUUUGUUUUUUUCUAAUUAGGCUGUCAUCUAUUCUAUUGGUCAUGUUGAUAACCCAACAAAAAACCACGAGAAAUACUACUCUUGUUGUUAGAAUAACGUCAACAUACUUUGUCUUUAUAUAUACAUGUUAAGUUGUUUAAAUAAAUUAACCCUAAUAUUUGUUUUCUCCUCUUUGAAACUUAGUAUCGAGUGUUUGAAUCAUAGAAAUUGCGAAUGUGUGUGUGAGUGAUUUACCUGUACCAAUCUAGCAUCGACUUUAUAUACAAUAAGCCUUUCUUUAUGUAAUCCAAAGGUUGAAGCUUGGGCUGGCCUCCUUUUUGGUUGGUAGAUCAGCCAGCAUCAAAUUUCUGAUCCACUUCAAAUUUCACAAUAAAUAUAGUUUUCUGUAAAUGAAUCAGAAGCAGUACGAGGAAUUAAAAAGAAAAAAAGAAAUGUCUGAAAUCUAAAGCACAAGGGUGGUUGAGACAAUGAAUGAAGGAAGGCAGUUCCCCACACUCUACUUUGUGGCUACACUUCCGUUUGUGAGUUUGUGGUUUUAACAGCACCCAACAUUUUGGGUCAUUCCUUGGCCGUUAGCUUCCGCCCGAAUCUACUCAAACCCUG